GGGUGAAGCAGCUCUUCUUGAACUUCUUGGAGGGCACAGCAGUGAGCCUCUGGAGUUGGAAACACUCUGGGCGCAUCGUGGAAAUUUGCUAAACCUGUUUAUUUUGAAGAAGCUUUUGAUCCAAGGUCAUUGACAACCUGACACCCAGCGGGGCCCCGAGUGGGGCUCGGUGGGGAGCAGGGAGCUGCACAGCGCUGGGACCCAUCUCAGGCCCCUGGAGUUCAUGAAGGGCCGGUGCUCGGGCGCCUACUCACAACGUUGAUAGGAGGGCGGCCGGAAACAGUGGAGUGUCCAGCAGAGUGCCUGGAAAUCAGUGACUACCACAUACCUAGAGAAGAUUAUUUUCAAAACAGAAGAAAAAAAAAUCCUAG
Molecule: long non-coding RNA, 371 nt
Organism: Zalophus californianus (California sea lion)
Lineage: Eukaryota; Metazoa; Chordata; Mammalia; Carnivora; Otariidae
Exons: 3
Source: RefSeq, a predicted model, not a curated record